AAUUUACUAUCGCCGAAUUCCAAUUAAGGAAACGGGGGAUCCACUCGGGUGAAUUAAUCUGAAUGUCAAAGAUUAUAGGGAAACCCUCUUCCGAACCCUUAGCUAACCUCGUAGGCAUCGAAGGGAGAAAGU
This 132-nucleotide small RNA is filed under the name Paenibacillus sp. RNAcentral's name for it is "c-di-AMP sequence". It matches the Rfam family "c-di-AMP riboswitch aptamer (ydaO/yuaA leader)". Rfam says of the family: This family represents a conserved RNA structure found upstream of the ydaO and yuaA genes in Bacillus subtilis and related genes in other bacteria. The ydaO/yuaA element is thought to act as a genetic "off" switch for the ydaO and yuaA genes in its native state. It is believed that the element may be triggered during osmotic shock leading to activation of ydaO, a predicted amino acid transporter gene, and members of the yuaA-yubG operon which code for KtrA and KtrB K+ transporters. The record is from RNAcentral. Lineage: Bacteria; Bacillati; Bacillota; Bacilli; Caryophanales; Paenibacillaceae.